RNAcentral lists this ribosomal RNA (828 nucleotides) under Faecalibacterium prausnitzii. RNAcentral describes it as "bacterial LSU rRNA". It matches the Rfam family "Bacterial large subunit ribosomal RNA", at positions 2103 to 2925 of the family's 2925-position model. Lineage: Bacteria; Bacillati; Bacillota; Clostridia; Eubacteriales; Oscillospiraceae. The record is from RNAcentral.
ACUGUAGCCUAAUAUUGGGUUUCGAUGUUGCAUGCACAGGAUAGAUGGGACACUGGGAAGCAAGAGCUUUGGCUUUUGUGGAGUGGCCGUUGGGAUACCAUCCUUGCGAUAUUGGAAUUCUAACCUGCGCCUUUGAAUCAAGGCGGGGGACAUUGUUAGGUGGGCAGUUUGACUGGGGCGGUCGCCUCCUAAAGAGUAACGGAGGCGUUCAAAGGUUCGCUCAGCUUGAACGGAAAUCAAGCAAAAGAGUGCAAACGCAGAAGCGAGCCUAACUGCGAGACUGACGGGUCGAGCAGUAACGAAAGUUGGAGUUAGUGAUCCGGUGGUAUGUGAGUGGAAAUGCCAUCGCUCAACGGAUAAAAGUUACCCUGGGGAUAACAGGCUGAUCUCCCCCAAGAGUCCACAUCGACGGGGAGGUUUGGCACCUCGAUGUCGGCUCAUCGCAUCCUGGGGCUGUAUUCGGUCCCAAGGGUUUGGCUGUUCGCCAAUUAAAGCGGUACGCGAGCUGGGUUCAGAACGUCGUGAGACAGUUCGGUCCCUAUCUGUCGUGGGCGCAGGAUAUUUGAUGGGAGCUGUUCCUAGUACGAGAGGACCGGAGCGGACGUACCUCUGGCGCACCAGUUGUUCUGCCAAGGGCAUAGCUGGGCAACUAUGUACGGAUCGGAUAAACGCUGAAAGCAUCUAAGCGUGAAGCCGACCCAAAGAUAAGAUAUCCCAUUGUUUCAAACAAGUAAGACCCCUUGAAGACUACAAGGUUGAUAGGCACGAUGUGUAAGUGGAGCGAUCCAUUCAGCAAGCGUGUACUAAUAGGUCGAGGGCUUGACCACA